UUCUGGAAUCCUCCAAUUCUCUUUUUGUGGAUGAGACUCCACAAGGACCUCGACAAGCCCUCUAGUCCAAGUCUCCCCCUCCUUCCCCUCCACUGUCCAGCAGGAAGGGUCAUCUUGACUGGGAGUGAAUCUUUUAACAACAUGAAAGGCAGAGCAGAUGGAGGCAUAUUCAAGAUUUCUGCAAUCGUAGUGUAUGGAUCUAGAGUAUAGAUGUGUGCUACAAACUUAAAGCAAACUACAAUGAGUUUGAUUGAGAUCGUUGGCCUAAAUGACUGAAGCCUCAUGGGAGAAUCCCUAGAAUGCUAAGAAGUCACCAAGAAUUGAACUGAACUACUAGAACAUAAUUUCUGAGGAUGACAAGUUGUUUCUUGGAAAACUCAAAGUGAAAUUAAACUUCAUGUUAGCCAAGUGAAAGGAACCUUAGAAUUCUUUUGUGCCUACUGAUAAUACUAGGAAAUAGAUUUUUUUGGUUAUGUACCUUGAAAUUUUUCUUUUAAUCUUAACAAGAGACCUAUGACUUUGUAAAAGCUAACCUUCAUGACAGAAUUCAACCUUGGAUACAACAUCUGGAGGUCCAUGUCUGACAUCCACGCAUGCCUGCUCAUUCUGAAAUCUCAGUUUAUGAAAGCUCUUCUAAUAAUUAGGACAGUCGGUUUCUCGGAAUGUGUCUUCUGUGUUUGAGCUCUCUGGAGAUCCAGUUAACCAAUCUCAAUCAAUCCUUCC
Molecule: long non-coding RNA, 723 nt
Organism: Monodelphis domestica (gray short-tailed opossum)
Lineage: Eukaryota; Metazoa; Chordata; Mammalia; Didelphimorphia; Didelphidae
Source: RefSeq, a predicted model, not a curated record